GACGAACGCUGGCGGCGUGCUUAACACAUCAGCAAUUGAUUGGUGGCGGACGGGUGAGUAACGCGUAAAGAACUUACCUCACAGUUAGGGACAACAUUUGGAAACGAAUGCUAAUACCUAAUACUGUGAGUGAGCUUUGCGUCCCAGUAGCUAGUUGGAGAGGUAACGGCGCACCAAGGCGAUGAUGGGUAGCCGGCCUGAGAGGGUGAUCGGCCACAAGGGGACUGAGACACUGCCCGUACGGCUACUGGAGGCAGCAGUGGGGAAUUGUGGACAAAGGACCAAAGUCUGAUCCAGCAAUUCUGUGUGUACGAUGAAGUUUUCGGAAUGUAAAGUGCUUUCAGUUGGGAAGCGGUACCAACAGAAGAAGUGACGGCUAAAUACGUGCCAGCCGCCGCGGUAAUAC
RNAcentral lists this ribosomal RNA (406 nucleotides) under uncultured bacterium. RNAcentral describes it as "partial 16S ribosomal RNA". It matches the Rfam family "Bacterial small subunit ribosomal RNA", at positions 28 to 526 of the family's 1533-position model. The record is from RNAcentral.